Molecule: ribosomal RNA, 409 nt
Filed under: bacterium
Lineage: Bacteria
Description: partial 16S ribosomal RNA
Rfam family: Bacterial small subunit ribosomal RNA
Source: RNAcentral
UGGGGAAUAUUGCACAAUGGGCGAAAGCCUGAUGCAGCGACGCCGCGUGAGGGAUGACGGCCUUCGGGUUGUAAACCUCUUUCAGUAGGGAAGAAGCGAAAGUGACGGUACCUGCAGAAGAAGCGCCGGCUAACUACGUGCCAGCAGCCGCGGUAAUACGUAGGGCGCACGCGUUAUCCGGAAUUAUUGGGCGUAAAGAGCUCGUAGGCGGGUUGUCGCGUCUGCCGUGAAAGUCCGGGGCUCAACUCCGGAUCUGCGGUGGGUACGGGCAGACUAGAGUGAUGUAGGGGAGACUGGAAUUCCUGGUGUAGCGGUGAAAUGCGCAGAUAUCAGGAGGAACGCCGAUGGAGAAGGCAGGUCUCUGGGCAUUAACUGACGCUGAGGAGCGAAAGCAUGGGGAGCGAACAGG